This 492-nucleotide ribosomal RNA is filed under the name uncultured bacterium. Its description in RNAcentral is "partial 16S ribosomal RNA". It matches the Rfam family "Bacterial small subunit ribosomal RNA", at positions 29 to 507 of the family's 1533-position model. The record is from RNAcentral.
AGUGAACGCUGGCGGUAGGCCUAACACAUGCAAGUCGAACGGCAGCACAGUAAGAGCUUGCUCUUACGGGUGGCGAGUGGCGGACGGGUGAGGAAUACAUCGGCAUCUACUUUUUCGUGGGGGAUAACGUAGGGAAACUUACGCUAAUACCGCAUACGACCUACGGGUGAAAGCAGGGGAUCUUCGGACCUUGCGCGAUUGAAUGAGCCGAUGUCGGAUUAGCUAGUUGGCGGGGUAAAGGCCCACCAAGGCGACGAUCCGUAGCUGGUCUGAGAGGAUGAUCAGCCACACUGGAACUGAGACACGGUCCAGAAUCCUACGGGAGGCAGCAGUGGGGAAUAUUGGAGAAUGGGCGCAAGCCUGAUCCAGCCAUACCGCGUGGGUGAAGAAGGCCUUCGGGUUGUAAAGCCCUUUUGUUGGGAAAGAAAAGCAGAAGGUUAAUACCCCGCUGUUCUGACGGUACCCAAAGAAUAAGCACCGGCUAACUUCGUG